RNAcentral lists this ribosomal RNA (558 nucleotides) under uncultured bacterium. RNAcentral's name for it is "bacterial SSU rRNA". It matches the Rfam family "Bacterial small subunit ribosomal RNA", at positions 339 to 917 of the family's 1533-position model. The record is from RNAcentral.
CUACGGGAGGCAGCAGUGGGGAAUCUUGCACAAUGGAGGAAACUCUGAUGCAGCGAUGCCGCGUGAGUGAAGAAGGCCCUUGGGUUGUAAAGCUCUUUCGUCGGGGAAGAAAAUGACUGUACCCGAAUAAGAAGGUCCGGCUAACUUCGUGCCAGCAGCCGCGGUAAUACGAAGGGACCUAGCGUAGUUCGGAAUUACUGGGCUUAAAGAGUUCGUAGGUGGUUGAAAAAGUUAGUGGUGAAAUCCCAGAGCUUAACUCUGGAACUGCCAUUAAAACUUUUCAGCUAGAGUAUGAUAGAGGAAAGCAGAAUUUCUAGUGUAGAGGUGAAAUUCGUAGAUAUUAGAAAGAAUACCAAUUGCGAAGGCAGCUUUCUGGAUCAUCACUGACACUGAGGAACGAAAGCAUGGAUAGCGAAGAGGAUUAGAUACCCUCGUAGUCCAUGCCGUAAACGAUGUGUGUUAGACGUUGGAAAUUUAUUUUCAGUGUCGCAGGGAAACCGAUAAACACACCGCCUGGGGAGUACGACCGCAAGGUUAAAACUCAAAGGAAUUGACGGA